RNAcentral lists this ribosomal RNA (799 nucleotides) under uncultured bacterium. Its description in RNAcentral is "bacterial SSU rRNA". It matches the Rfam family "Bacterial small subunit ribosomal RNA", at positions 8 to 794 of the family's 1533-position model. The record is from RNAcentral.
AGAGUUUGAUCCUGGCUCAGGAUGAACGCUAGCUACAGGCUUAACACAUGCAAGUCGAGGGGCAGCAUGGUCUUAGCUUGCUAAGGCUGAUGGCGACCGGCGCACGGGUGAGUAACACGUAUCCAACCUGCCGUCUACUCUUGGCCAGCCUUCUGAAAGGAAGAUUAAUCCAGGAUGGCAUCAUGAGUUCACAUGUCCGCAUGAUUAAAGGUAUUUUCCGGUAGACGAUGGGGAUGCGUUCCAUUAGAUGGUAGGCGGGGUAACGGCCCACCUAGUCAACGAUGGAUAGGGGUUCUGAGAGGAAGGUCCCCCACAUUGGAACUGAGACACGGUCCAAACUCCUACGGGAGGCAGCAGUGAGGAAUAUUGGUCAAUGGGCGAUGGCCUGAACCAGCCAAGUAGCGUGAAGGAUGACUGCCCUAUGGGUUGUAAACCUCUUUUAUAAAGGAAUAAAGUCGGGUAUGCAUACCCGUUUGCAUGUACUUUAUGAAUAAGGAUCGGCUAACUCCGUGCCAGCAGCCGCGGUAAUACGGAGGAUCCGAGCGUUAUCCGGAUUUAUUGGGUUUAAAGGGAGCGUAGAUGGAUGUUUAAGUCAGUUGUGAAAGUUUGCGGCUCAACCGUAAAAUUGCAGUUGAUACUGGAUGUCUUGAGUGCAGUUGAGGCAGGCGGAAUUCGUGGUGUAGCGGUGAAAUGCUUAGAUAUCACGAAGAACUCCGAUUGCGAAGGCAGCCUGCUAAGCUGCAACUGACAUUGAGGCUCGAAAGUGUGGGUAUCAAAAAGGAUUAGAUACCCUGGUAGU